ACCUGCCCUAUGAUAUAUAUUAAAUGGCCGCGAUAUUUUGAUCGUGCAAAGGUAGCAUAAUCAUUAGUUUUUUAAUUGAGAACUGGUAUGAAAGGUUGAACGAAAAAAAAACUGUCUCAAUUUAAUUUAAUUAGAAUUUUAUUUUUAAGUAAAAAAGCUUAAAUAUAUUUAAAAGACGAGAAGACCCUAUAGAGUUUUAUAAUUAAUAUUAUAAAAAAAAUAUUUAGUAUAUAAAUUUUUAUUUUUUUAUUAAUUAUUUAGUUGGGGUGAUUGAAAAAUUUAAUAAACUUUUUUUUAUUAUUGUAACAUUAAUAUAUGAUAAAUUGAUCCAUAUUUUAUGAUUAAAAGAUUAAAUU
This 356-nucleotide ribosomal RNA is filed under the name Helictopleurus marsyas. Its description in RNAcentral is "partial 16S ribosomal RNA". Lineage: Eukaryota; Metazoa; Arthropoda; Insecta; Coleoptera; Scarabaeidae. The record is from RNAcentral.